RNAcentral lists this ribosomal RNA (725 nucleotides) under Micronematomyces caribensis. RNAcentral's name for it is "eukaryotic LSU rRNA". It matches the Rfam family "Eukaryotic large subunit ribosomal RNA", at positions 111 to 867 of the family's 3401-position model. The record is from RNAcentral. Lineage: Eukaryota; Fungi; Ascomycota; Dothideomycetes; Mycosphaerellales; Mycosphaerellaceae.
AAAUUUGAAAUCUGGCGCAAGCCCGAGUUGUAAUUUGUAGAGGAUGCUUCUGGCCAGCGGCCGUUCUAAGUUCCUUGGAACAGGACGUCAUAGAGGGUGAGAAUCCCGUAUGUGACCGGCGCGCAGCCUUUACGUAGCUCCUUCGACGAGUCGAGUUGUUUGGGAAUGCAGCUCUAAAUGGGAGGUAAAUUUCUUCUAAAGCUAAAUACCGGCCAGAGACCGAUAGCGCACAAGUAGAGUGAUCGAAAGAUGAAAAGCACUUUGGAAAGAGAGUUAAAAAGCACGUGAAAUUGUUGAAAGGGAAGCGCUUGCAACCAGACUUCGUAGCGAUGUUCCGCCGGUCUUCUGACCGGUCUACUCAUCGUCGCGAGGCCAACAUCGUCUGGGACCGCUGGAUAAGACCUAAGGAAUGUAGCUUCCCUCGGGAAGUGUUAUAGCCUGUGGUGAUGCGGCGUGUCUCGGGCGAGGUCCGCGCUUCGGCAAGGAUGUUGGCGUAAUGGUUGUCAGCGGCCCGUCUUGAAACACGGACCAAGGAGUCUAACAUCUAUGCGAGUGUUCGGGUGUCAAACCCCUACGCGUAAUGAAAGUGAACGGAGGUGGGAAGCGCAAGCUGCACCAUCGACCGAUCCUGAUGUCCUCGGAUGGAUUUGAGUAAGAGCAUAGCUGUUGGGACCCGAAAGAUGGUGAACUAUGCCUGAAUAGGGUGAAGCCAGAGGAAACUCUGG